This 253-nucleotide ribosomal RNA is filed under the name uncultured bacterium. RNAcentral describes it as "partial 16S ribosomal RNA". It matches the Rfam family "Bacterial small subunit ribosomal RNA", at positions 524 to 776 of the family's 1533-position model. The record is from RNAcentral.
UACGGAGGGUGCAAGCGUUAUCCGGAUUCACUGGGUUUAAAGGGUGCGUAGGUGGGUCUGAAAGUCAGUGGUGAAAUCUCCGGGCUUAACCCGGAAACUGCCAUUGAUACUUCAGGUCUUGAAUUUUCUGGAGGUAAGCGGAAUAUGUCAUGUAGAGGUGAAAUGCUUAGAGAGGACAUAGAACACCAAUUGCGAAGGCAGCUUACUACGGGAGUAUUGACACUGAGGCACGAAAGCGUGGGGAUCAAACAGG